Molecule: long non-coding RNA, 719 nt
Organism: Pogoniulus pusillus (Red-fronted tinkerbird)
Lineage: Eukaryota; Metazoa; Chordata; Aves; Piciformes; Lybiidae
Exons: 4
Source: RefSeq, a predicted model, not a curated record
AGGCUGGGGAAUGAGGCAAUAGAAAUCAGCCUUGUGGAAGAGGAGUUCUGGUGGAUGAGAAGCUGGAUGUGAGCAGACUGUGUACACUUUGCAGCUCAGAAGGCAAAUGGCAGCCUGGGCUGCAUCCAAAGCAGCAGGACCAGCAGAUGGAGAGAGGGCAUUCUGCCAAUUUACUCUGCUCUGAUCUCUGAAGAGCUGAGUCGUGAGUUUGCUCCUCCAGCUGUCUGACAUCUAUUUAAAAAGACCUCUAGAAACCACUCAACGAAUUGCUAAUGUGCAGUGGGAGGAAAAAGCCUCCAGAAGCCUUGCAAGUGCAAGAUCACAGAGCACUUAGAAGAGCAGCAGCACAGUUUCCCCUUCGGCAAAGGGCUUGGAAAUCUGGAUGUCUGCCUGAGGCUUAUUUGGUGUUGGGAACCCUUUCCCAGCUGACUCAACUGAGUGGAAAGAGUGGAGGACAGGAGCUUCCUAACCAGAAGGAGCAUAUUUUGGAUGCUGUGUCCUGGAGUAACAAGUAGCAGGACCAGAGCAAAUGGCCUCAAGUUUUACCGGGGAGAACAUGAUGAUAAGCCAGAAAGGUGAGGAAGAGCUCUCUGUGCUUGCAGGGAAUAGCAGUUAAGCAGCUGAACUCUUCUCUGUGCCAUUGUCAGAUGUCCCUGUCCCCAUGGCAGAUCACAGUACAGUGCUUUUGUUAUCACAGCACCAAGUGGAGCACAUUGAAA